RNAcentral lists this ribosomal RNA (421 nucleotides) under uncultured bacterium. RNAcentral describes it as "bacterial SSU rRNA". It matches the Rfam family "Bacterial small subunit ribosomal RNA", at positions 355 to 774 of the family's 1533-position model. The record is from RNAcentral.
UAAGGAAUAUUGGUCAAUGGACGCAAGUCUGAACCAGCCAUGCCGCGUGAAGGAUGAAGGUCCUCUGGAUUAUAAACUUCUUUUAUCUGGGACGAAAACGGGAUUUUUAUCUCAAUUGACGGUACCAGAGGAAUAAGCACCGGCUAACUCCGUGCCAGCAGCCGCGGUAAUACGGAGGGUGCGAGCGUUAUCCGGAUUUAUUGGGUUUAAAGGGUGCGUAGGCGGCGAUAUAAGUCAGUGGUGAAAUAUUUCGGCUUAACCGAGAGACUGCCAUUGAUACUGUGUUGCUAGAAUAUGGUUGCUGUGAGUGGAAUGUGUGGUGUAGCGGUGAAAUGCUUAGAUAUCACACAGAAUAUCGAUUGCGAAGGCAGCUCACAAAGCCAUUAUUGACGCUGAGGCACGAAAGUGUGGGGAUCAAACA